RNAcentral lists this ribosomal RNA (253 nucleotides) under uncultured bacterium. RNAcentral's name for it is "partial 16S ribosomal RNA". It matches the Rfam family "Bacterial small subunit ribosomal RNA", at positions 524 to 776 of the family's 1533-position model. The record is from RNAcentral.
UACGUAGGGACCGAGCGUUGUCCGGAUUCAUUGGGCGUAAAGAGCUCGUAGGCGGCUGCUCAAGUCGAAUGUGAAAACUCGAGGCUCAACCUCGAGCCUGCAUUCGAUACUGGGCGGCUAGAGUCUGGUAGGGGGAUCUGGAAUUCCUGGUGUAGCGGUGAAAUGCGCAGAUAUCAGGAGGAACACCGAUGGCGAAGGCAGCUCGCUGGGACGGUACUGACGCUGAGGCGCGAAAGCGUGGGGAGCAAACAGG